GGGAGUGGCUGUGGCUCAGUGGAAAAGCGUUUGCUUCACAUGCAGAAGGUCCCAAGUUCUAUCCCUAUCAUUUCCA
RNAcentral lists this transfer RNA (76 nucleotides) under Sphaerodactylus townsendi. Its description in RNAcentral is "tRNA-Val". Lineage: Eukaryota; Metazoa; Chordata; Lepidosauria; Squamata; Sphaerodactylidae. The record is from RNAcentral.